This 459-nucleotide ribosomal RNA is filed under the name uncultured bacterium. Its description in RNAcentral is "partial 16S ribosomal RNA". It matches the Rfam family "Bacterial small subunit ribosomal RNA", at positions 338 to 795 of the family's 1533-position model. The record is from RNAcentral.
CCUACGGUGGGCAGCAGUGAGGAAUGUUGGUCAAUGGGCGCGAGCCUGAACCAGCCAAGUCGCGUGAGGGAAGACGGUCCUAUGGAUUGUAAACCUCUUUUGUCGGGGAGCAAAAGACGCCACGCGUGGCGUUCCGAGAGUACCCGAAGAAAAAGCAUCGGCUAACUCCGUGCCAGCAGCCGCGGUACUACGGGGGAAGCGAGCGUUAUCAGGAUUUAUUGGGUUUAAAGGGUGCGCAGGCGGAAGAUCAAGUCAGCGGUAAAGUUGAGAGGCUAAACCACUUCGAGCCGUUGAAACUGGUAUUCUUGAGUGAACGAGAAGAAUGCGGAAUGCGUGGUGUAGCGGUGGAAUGCAUAGAUAUCACGCAGAACUCCGAUUGCGAAGGCAGCAUACCGGCGCUCAACUGACGCUCAUGCACGAAAGUGUGGGUAUCGAACAGGAUUAGAUACCCCUGUAGUC